UUAUGCAAGUCGAGGGGUAUAAGUCUUCGGAUUUAGAGACCGGCGCACGGGUGCGUAACGCGUAUGCAAUCUACCUUUCACAAAGGGAUAGCCCAGAGAAAUUUGGAUUAAUACCUUAUAGUAUAUAGUUUUGGCAUCAAGAUUAUAUUAAAGAUUUAUCGGUGAAAGAUGAGCAUGCGUCCCAUUAGCUAGUUGGUAUGGUAACGGCAUACCAAGGCNACGAUGGGUAGGGGUCCUGAGAGGAGAUCCCCCACACUGGUACUGAGACACGGACCAGACUCCUACGGGAGGCAGCAGUGAGGAAUAUUGGACAAUGGGCGCAAGCCUGAUCCAGCCAUGCCGCGUGCAGGAUGACGGUCCUAUGGAUUGUAAACUGCUUUUAUACAGGAAGAAACACCUCUACGUGUAGAGACUUGACGGUACUGUAAGAAUAAGGAUCGGCUAACUCCGUGCCAGCAGCCGCGGUAAUACGGAGGAUCCAAGCGUUAUCCGGAAUCUUGGGUUUAAAGGGUCCGUAGGCGGUCAGAUAAGUCAGUGGUGAAAGCCCAUCGCUCANCGGUGGAACGGCCAUUGAUACUGUCUGGACUUGAAUUAUUAGGAAGUACUAGAAUUAUGUAGUGUAGCGGUGAAAUGCUUAGAGAUUACAUGGAAUACCAAUUGCGAAGGCAGGUUACUACUAAUUAUAUUGACGCUGAUUGGACGA
This 703-nucleotide ribosomal RNA is filed under the name uncultured Flavobacterium sp. Its description in RNAcentral is "bacterial SSU rRNA". It matches the Rfam family "Bacterial small subunit ribosomal RNA", at positions 53 to 756 of the family's 1533-position model. The record is from RNAcentral. Lineage: Bacteria; Pseudomonadati; Bacteroidota; Flavobacteriia; Flavobacteriales; Flavobacteriaceae.